AUUGAACGCCGGCGGCAUGCCUUACACAUGCAAGUCGAACGGUAACAGGUCUUCGGAUGCUGACGAGUGGCGAACGGGUGAGUAAUACAUCGGAACGUGCCUAGUAGUGGGGGAUAACUACUCGAAAGAGUGGCUAAUACCGCAUGAGAUCUACGGAUGAAAGCAGGGGAUCGCGAGACCUUGUGCUACUAUAGCGGCCGAUGGCAGAUUAGGUAGUUGGUGGGAUAAAAGCUUACCAAGCCGACGAUCUGUAGCUGGUCUGAGAGGACGAUCAGCCACACUGGGACUGGGAGACGGCCCAGACUCCUACGGGAGGCAGCAGUGGGGAAUUUUGGACAAUGGGCGAAAGCCUGAUCCAGCAAUGCCGCGUGCAGGAUGAAGGCCUUCGGGUUGUAAACUGCUUUUGUACGGAACGAAAAGCCCUGGGUUAAUACCCUGGGGUCAUGACGGUACCGUAAGAAUAAGCACCGGCUAACUACGUGCCAGCCGCCGCCGUAA
RNAcentral lists this ribosomal RNA (498 nucleotides) under uncultured bacterium. RNAcentral's name for it is "partial 16S ribosomal RNA". It matches the Rfam family "Bacterial small subunit ribosomal RNA", at positions 30 to 523 of the family's 1533-position model. The record is from RNAcentral.